GACGAACGCUGGCGGCGUGCUUAACACAUGCAAGUCGAACGGAAAGGCCCUGCUUGCAGGGUACUCGAGUGGCGAACGGGUGAGUAACACGUGGGUGAUCUGCCCUGCACUUCGGGAUAAGCCUGGGAAACUGGGUCUAAUACCGGAUAGGAGCCAUUUUUAGUGUGAUGGUUGGAAAGUUUUUUCGGUGUAGGAUGAGCUCGCGGCCUAUCAGCUUGUUGGUGGGGUAAUGGCCUACCAAGGCGGCGACGGGUAGCCGGCCUGAGAGGGUGGACGGCCACAGUGGGACUGAGAUACGGCCCAGACUCCGACGGGAGGCAGCAGUGGGGAAUAUUGCACAAGGGGCGCAAGCCUGAUGCAGCGACGCCGCGUGGGGGAUGACGGCCUUCGGGUUGUAAACUCCUUUCGCUAGGGACGAAGCUUUUUGUGACGGUACCUAGAUAAGAAGCACCGGCUAACUACGUG
Molecule: ribosomal RNA, 465 nt
Filed under: uncultured bacterium
Lineage: Bacteria
Description: partial 16S ribosomal RNA
Rfam family: Bacterial small subunit ribosomal RNA
Source: RNAcentral